RNAcentral lists this ribosomal RNA (254 nucleotides) under uncultured bacterium. Its description in RNAcentral is "partial 16S ribosomal RNA". It matches the Rfam family "Bacterial small subunit ribosomal RNA", at positions 524 to 776 of the family's 1533-position model. The record is from RNAcentral.
UACGUAGGGUGCAAGCGUUGUCCGGAUUUACUGGGCGUAAAGAGCGCGUAGGCGGUCUGUUAAGUGUAGAGUGAAAUCUCCAGGGCUCAACCCGGAAACUGCUCUGCAUACUGGCAGACUUGAGGGACUGAGAGGUGAAUGGAAUUCCUGGUGUAGCGGUGAAAUGCGUAGAUAUCGGAAGGAACAUCAGUGGCGAAAGCGACUUCCUGGACCAGUACCGACGUUCAGGCACGAAAGCGUGGGGAGCAAACAGG